AGUGAACGCUGGCGGUAGGCCUAACACAUGCAAGUCGAACGGUAGCACAUUAAGAGCUUGCUCUUACGGGUGGCGAGUGGCGGACGGGUGACGCAUACAUCGUAAUCUACUUUUUCGUGGGGGAUAACGUAGGGAAACUUACGCUAAUACCUCAUACGACCUACGGGUGAAAGCAGGGUAUCUUCGUACCUUGCGCGCUUGAAUGAGCCGAUGUCGGAUUAGCUAGUUGGGGGGGUAAAGGGCCACCAAGGCGACGGUCCGUAGCUGGUCUGAGAGGAUGAUACGCCACAUGGGGAAGUAGACACGGGCCAAACUCCCACGGGAGGGAGCAGUGGGGAAUUUUAGGCAAGGGGCGAAAGGCUGACCGAGCAACGCCGGGUGAGUGAAGAAGGGUGUCGGGUUGUAAAACUCUUUUGGUAGAGAAGAAAGAGCGUGAGAUUAGAAAGCUCAUCUAGUGACGGUAACUAACCAGAAAGCGCCGGCUAACUACGUG
RNAcentral lists this ribosomal RNA (493 nucleotides) under uncultured bacterium. Its description in RNAcentral is "partial 16S ribosomal RNA". It matches the Rfam family "Bacterial small subunit ribosomal RNA", at positions 29 to 507 of the family's 1533-position model. The record is from RNAcentral.